UGGGGAAUAUUGGGCAAUGGAGGCAACUCUGACCCAGCAACGCCGCGUGAAUGAUGAAGGUCUUCGGAUUGUAAAGUUCUUUUCUAAGGGAAGAAGAAAGUGACGGUACCUUAGGAAUAAGCCUCGGCUAACUACGUGCCAGCAGCCGCGGUAAUACGUAGGAGGCAAGCGUUAUCCGGAAUGACUGGGCGUAAAGGGUGCGUAGGUGGUUUGACAAGUUGGUAGCGUAACUCCGGAGCUCAACUUCGGAACUACUACCAAAACUGUUGGACUCGAGUGCAGGAGGGGCAACUGGAAUUUCUAGUGUAGCGGUGGAAUGCGUAGAUAUUAGGAAGAACACCGGUGGCGAAGGCGAGUUGCUGGACUGUAACUGACACUGAGGCACGAAAGCGUGGGGAGC
RNAcentral lists this ribosomal RNA (400 nucleotides) under uncultured bacterium. RNAcentral describes it as "bacterial SSU rRNA". It matches the Rfam family "Bacterial small subunit ribosomal RNA", at positions 355 to 769 of the family's 1533-position model. The record is from RNAcentral.